CCAUAUGUGUGGCAGGAUUACGUCAAUUGACAUCCACGAAGAAGAACGGUUUGUUUUCAACAAUGGUUUUUUACGAAGAAGAAACUGCAGAGAGAAACAACCAUUUCCAGUAUGGCUUUUCUCCUUGUGAAAUGCAAGGUGUCCCUGCCCACAGGCAGCAGACUGCAUCUAAGAAGGGUGGCACUGCAGUCAUCCUAAGGUGCUUGCCUCUGGCAUUUGCAGCUUCUCACAGUGAUGGAAGGCUACGAACUCCAAUUCCGAUGCUGGCCACCGCUAUUGUUCUGGCACCUCAAAUGUCUCAGGGUCUACUGUUGACGCCCUGGUUGACUGAUUGUUUCCAAAUGAGUUCAGAUGAAAGAGCAUCAACCUACAUCCUAACCCUUCAUUCUGGCCACAGGUUCUGUCUGACAGACAUGUUAACCGGCCAUUAUAGUUGUCCACAAACGCCCCUCUCGCUGUUUCGGAUGAGCUAGGGGCUUUCCCCAGUGUGUUGUGCCCGGCUAGGGCAAUGGACUCUUUUCACAGUCGCAGGUAAUAAGAAAGCUUUAUCAGUUUUUGUUUACUAUGGUGAAAGUUCUGUGUUAGGGCCUAUAUGACUGGACCCUCACAUUGCAUGGUGUACACUGUUCCCGCAGCAUUUCAGCUGGCCUUUGCCUUUUGCUGUGGUGGCACAUUCUACUGGAGGAGUAACUGCCUGGACGAUUGGAUAGUCUGCCCCAUCCAGGGAACAAGCCACAACGGACACGAGGACCCUCUUGAACCACAUUUGAGUUCUGGGCCUUACCCUAAACAAGGAGAAGAUUCACCUGAACCCUCACGGAAGGUGAUCUACCUCGGGAUGUCCAUAGACUCGACUCUCAUGAGGGCACGUCUCCCUCAAGUGAGAGUAACAAAAUCCUAUCAUACCUCAACCAUUUCCGGGUCGGAGGAGCCAUGUUGGUGUUAAGAGUGCCAACAGUUACUCGGCCUACUGAUGGUGGCUUCACUGUUGGUUUUGCUGGGCAUUCUCCACAUUUAGGCCUAAUUUAACUGAAACAUUUGGUGAUGUUCAAGUUCAAUUCACUGGCACUAUGGAGAAUAGCUUAACCAUACUCAUUGAUAUAUAUAUAUAUAAUAUAUAUACUUUUGGUAAAUUUACGAGGCAUUGCGAGGUACACAUAACCAAGAUUUAGCCUAUGCACAGGUCCGACUGUCUGUCUGCCCCGAUGGGGCCAAGCCCUUUUUGUCCGUCGCUGGCUCGCCUGCUCUUUCUCUUCACUAUGAAAAACGCUAGUGUGUGUUUGGUCUUGGUCUGUUGCGUGUAGAAUAGCUCAGCCUACUCAUUGAUAGCCCCUACUUUAGUGAAUUUACGCAAGACAUUGCCUACAUGUUUUGAUUACCGAUGCAAGGUUCUGACUCAUGUCUAGUGCCUGGCUGGGCCCCUCCCAUUUCUCUUUCUCUCCCUCGCUAGCUUACUCGUUAUUUGUUGUGAAAGAUGCAAUAGUUUCUGUUCAAAAAGUAGCCUACGGCAACUAGUUUCGGGCAUUGGGAAAAAUAAUGAUUCUUAGGAGUUGAGGAGUCGAUUCCUAGCGGAAUCAAAGCUUCACACCAGGAGUCUACGGUCAAGGAGUAGAGGAAUAUAUUAUUUUGGAAUCGAUUCCCCACCACUACCUAGGCUACCAUUUCAGAGUGUAGCAUGAAAAGGGUAUUCAUUCUGUCAAACCAUGCCCUGUGUGUUUUUGAACAAAUAUUAUAUUUACCUCAAAAUAUUAUAUGUACCUCAAAGCCAGUUCUACUGCUUCCCUCUAAUUAGGUACUGAUUUAUACCUGGGACACUGCAGCAUCCGGUUGCUCCGGACAUCAUAGGGUAAGAUUUGAAUACCCCUGGUCUAGAGGUUCAAGUCCUGUUCAACUCAAAUCAAUUUGUUUGUCACAUGCAAAACUAGUUAACAAGCACUGCUCCUUCUUAUUUUGACAGAGAAUGGCAUUGGAGAAGGACAGGGAGGAACCAUUGAGGAAAGCAAAGACAGCUGAGAAUGGGAGAUCCUUCUCCUGGGAGAAAGUGCUUGCAUGGGGAAAGAAGACAGCACCCAGCAUUCUAAGAUGUCUGAGGGCACUGUUCACCAAACCUGAGAGGGUCCGGAGGACCUGAGCCCUAGGACCAUGCCUCAGGACUACCUGGCAUGAUGACUCCUUGCUGUCCCCAGUCCACCUGGCCGUGCUGCUGCUCCAGUUUCAACUGUUCUGCCUGCGGCUAUGGAACCCUGACCUGUUCACCGGACAUGCUACCUGUCCCAGACCUGCUGUUUUCAACUCUCUAGAGACAGCAGGAGCAGUAGAGAUACUCUUAAUGAUCGGCUAUGAAAAGCCAACUGACAUUUACUCCUGGGGUGCUGACUUGUUGCACCCUCGACAACUACUGUGAUUAUUAUUAUUUGACCAUGCUGGUCAUUUAUGAACAUUUGAACAUCUUGGCCAUGUUCUGUUAUAAUCUCCACCCGGCACAGCCAGAAGAGGACUGGCCACCCCUCAUAGCCUGGUUCUCUCUAGGUUUCUUCCUAGGUUUUGGCCUUUCUAGGGAGUUUUUCCUAGCCACCGUGCUUCUACACCUGCAUUGCUUGCUGUUUGGAGUUUUAGGCUGGGUUUCUGUACAGCACUUUGAGAUAUCAGCUGAUGUAAGAAGGGCUAUAUAAAUUUGAUUUGAUUUGAUCUUAACCUUUACACUUGUGGGAAUUGGCCUAUAUGGAUAGGGCUAAAUUUAAAUGUUUCAUACAGAAGAAAUAAGCAAAGCAUGGUAGCAAUUGGAAAGGAACAGUUUGGAGAAUAUGGGAUAGUUAUUAGACCAAAGUUGAGGACACAAUAGUUCACCUGACACAAGACUGAAUCCAAACAAUACACUGUUGAUUUUGUGCAUUUGACAUUCACUGUACUUUUCGCUGCAUUUGUUGAUAACAAAAUCUGAAAAUAUUCUGGAGACAUUCAGUAAUAUGAUAAGAAUAUUCCUGGAGAAUGUGUGGUAGGUGCAACAUAAGACAAAAACAUUACAAGGAUUUGAGUAAGAGGACCAAGUGGCCACACACAUCUCCAAAGUGUGCACAGUUCCCAAGUAAUUUCAAUGCACUUUUAUGACUGGAAGAGUCUUUUUUUUUCAAUUUGUGUUGUUGCUUACCCAAAAACCGCCCAUUAUAAAUUGAAUCUGGGUCAGGUGGAAAGCUUGUUCUAUUGCCUACAUGACUGGCUAAGUUAUAAAAUAUGAUCUUACGGUGUUAGGCUUUCACAGGGCAAUUCAGAUAAAUGUUGGUGCAGAUAGAAAGGAGUCAUGAGUGUGUUCUGAAGCCAAUUUUCUUCACAAUAGACAAACAGUCUAAUUCUGUUCAGAACAAUCCAGGGUAUGACGCCAUGUCAUUCUUGUAACUGUACAUCAAGCAUAGUGAUCAUAAGCGUUGACACUAUAUAUGACAUGAGUUUUGUGAUAUGGAAAUGCGAAGUGCACAUUUGGAUGUUUGGUUUGCUUCUAUGACAUCAAAUUGGUAUUUUUUAUAAUCCUGAACAUCUCAUCUUUCAAAAUAUAGACUUUUAAUUUACAGCAUUUCCCUCACUCCAAUAACAAGAAAUGUGCAAAAGUUGCCCAACUAGCGGGAGGGUUGGUGUCAACUUCUUGUCGCUUCCGGUGCUGAAGUUCAGAACAGCUGUCAGUCAAAACCCAUACAGCGCUGUGAAGCACAGAGCCUGAGCUCUGAUGUCAUUUAUAGCAUGUUACUGUACAGCCACUGCUUUACAUUUUCAACCCGUAUACAGGUACGAGUGUAAAGGGUUACUAAAUCACAGUGGGAGCACAUCAAAGUUAUGAACGAGUAUUCAUCAUUUCUUUGUAUUUGAUCUUCUGUCAUGCUCUAUCCAAAACAGGACGUCAUCAGAGGGCAAGGAUAUCAUCAACCAGAGGACAGAGCUGUUCCUGGCUAUUAUCCUGAAGACUAAUGUGUCUGCAUGUAACAUUGUCCAGUCCUUUCUGGGAUGGGAGUUUUGGAGACAGCGCUGUCCUGAAAGCACAUUUAAAACCCACUACAGCCUGGGGGUGACUAGUUCCAUGUUGCCAGAACUGCAGCAGAAUAUCGUUUGCAUCGGAGCCACAGCCAUUCCCCCAUAUCCAACCGCCACAGGCACAUCGGCAACAGGGGUGCGGAGAACAGAAUGGAAUCAGACAGAGGCAGGAGAAGAGAAGUUUCCUCGACGACUGAACCAUCAAACACAGACCAGACCCCAACCCCUCAGACCUCCAGUCCACAACCCCCUCAGCCAGACACAGACCAGACCCCAACCCCUGAGACCUCCAGUCCACAACCCCCUCAGCCAGACACAGACCCCAACCCCUAAGACCUCCUCUGACCAACCGAAGCCAUGAGUGUCUUUUAAACAACAUAAAAGCUUGCCAGUAUAAUGCAAAAAUGAUCCCUAUGAGGUCAGAAUUACCCGAAUGUUCCUAACCUCUCAUGAAAUGUAUAAAAGCCACAUUCUGUUUUAAUUCUGUAAAAACCCUGAAAGCCAAAAGCCGAAACGCGUUGGUUCCAUUGUCCUCAUGCACCUCAGUUGAUAAGAGAGGUAGCAGAAGAUAUCCCUUCCCUAAUCCCUUAUGUGUCCAUUCAGCAGAAACGUCCCUAAGACAUACAGUACCAGUCAAAAGUUUGGACACACCUACCCAUUCAAGGGAUUUUCUUUAUUUUUACUAUUUUUUACAUUGUAGAAUAGAUAUACAAAAAAUAUAUGAAAUAACACAAAUAGAAUCAUGUUGUAACCAAAAAAAAUCUUAAACAAGUCAAAAUAUAUUUUAGAUUUUAGAUUAUUGAAAGUUGCCAGCCUUUGCUUUGACAGCUUUGCACACUCUUGGCAUUCUCUCAACCAGCUUCAUGAGGAAUGCUUUUCCAACCGUCUUGAAGGAGUUCCUACAUAUUCUAUGCACUUGUUGGCCGCUUUUCCUUCACUCUACGGUCCAACUCAUCCCAAACCAUCUCAAUUGGGUUCAGGUUAGGUGAUUGUGGAGGCCAGGUCAUCUGAUGCAGCACCAUCACUCUCCUCCUUGGUCAAAUAGCCCUUACACAGCCUGGAGGUGUGUUUUGGAUCAUUGUCCUGUUUUAAAACAAGUGAUAGUCCCACAAGCUAGAUGGGAUGGCGUAUCGCUGCAGAAUGCUUUGGUAGCAAUGCGGUCAAGAUUACUACAUUAUUCCAUGUGUUAUUUCAUAGUUUUGAUGUCUUUACUAUUAUUCUACAAUGUAGAAAAUAGUAAAAAUAAAGAAAAACCCUUGAAUGAGUAGAUGUCCAAACUUUUACAUGCUACUGUAUAACGUUCUGCAUCUGACCAACCACAACGUGCAAAGACAGAGGCUACUACAGAGGACAGACGUCAGUGUUUAGUGUUUAGUAAUCCUCUAGUCCUCCAGAUGUCUUUGAACAUCUGCUUAUAAACUAAAAAAUAUGUCUUGCUCUCCUCCUCAUGUACAGGGCCCAGAGUUGUUCCUGCUGAUUAGUAGUGCCCAGAGUCUUUCCUUGACCACAUGACUUGACCAGGAAAAACAUCUGCCCAUGUCUCACUGUUCCCCCAUGUCUCCUCAGGACUUUGCUGGCCCAUUGGAAAACACCCGCUGAAGAACCAAAAGGAAAGACAAUAAAGAAACUUGCUCAAACAUCCCAAAAAAGAACAAUGAACCAUCUUAGAAGCGCAAAACACAAUAGGAAAAUAAAUCACACUGUAGUUGCAAGCCCAAGAAGAGGGGGAUAAACAAAGCUGCCAAAACAGACACAAAGAAUUUGCUCAAAUACCAGCCACAAACAAAGAUUUUCUUUAAACGCCAGACACAAACAAAGAAGUCUCAAAUGCCCCCAAUUAGGUAAGUGAAACAUGGGUUCUCUCUCGCUUACUCACACACACACCAGUGCGCAGUUUACAACGACUCCUGUUUCAAUAUUUUUUUUUACAGAAAUUUUGCUGAAGAAAUGGUUUCUCUUGACAUGUUGUUUUUCUUUUGUAAAGUUAUGUUGGUGAAGAAUGUUUCAUAAAACAAAGUUAGAUUUCCGAACCAAGAGUUGUACAUAGAUACUGUAUGUCUACAUUUGUUUUCUAUUAAAAAAGUAUCUCAAA
Molecule: RNA transcript, 6112 nt
Organism: Salvelinus fontinalis (brook trout)
Lineage: Eukaryota; Metazoa; Chordata; Actinopteri; Salmoniformes; Salmonidae
Exons: 4
Source: RefSeq, a predicted model, not a curated record